UACGUAGGAUGCAAGCGUUGCUCGGAAUUACUGGGUGUAAAGGGCGCGCAGGUGGCCCUGUAAGUCACAGGUGAAGGCCCCCGGCUUAACUGGGGAACUGCCUGUGAUACUGCAGGGCUAGAGUACGGGAGAGGGAAGUGGAAUUCCUGGUGUAGCGGUGAAAUGCGUAGAUAUCAGGAGGAACAUCGGUGGCGAAGGCGGCUUCCUGGCCCGAUACUGACACUGAGGCGCGAAAGCGUGGGUAGCAAACAGG
RNAcentral lists this ribosomal RNA (253 nucleotides) under uncultured bacterium. RNAcentral's name for it is "partial 16S ribosomal RNA". It matches the Rfam family "Bacterial small subunit ribosomal RNA", at positions 524 to 776 of the family's 1533-position model. The record is from RNAcentral.